Molecule: long non-coding RNA, 726 nt
Organism: Halichondria panicea
Lineage: Eukaryota; Metazoa; Porifera; Demospongiae; Suberitida; Halichondriidae
Exons: 2
Source: RefSeq, a predicted model, not a curated record
AAGUUAUAGUUAUAACACGGGCACAAGGGAUGUAUGGAAUAUAUUGCACUGAAGCACGAGGGCGCCAGCCCCGAGGGCUGAGUGCAAUAUAUGCCAUGCAGCCCGAGUGCACGUGUUAUAACUAGUUUAUAUCCCGAGGGCAUAGCAACAUAACACUGUCCUAGUAACACAAUAUAAACAGCACAAAAAAAGACAGAGACAACUCUAGACACAGCUCCAUCUCUUCUCUCUUCUAGACGCCAGUAUCUGCAGCGUAUAAGAUUGGCAUGACCGACGAAUGGCUUGACACAAAAUUGUUGGAGUUUCAACUGAAAUCUGCAAAACAGCCCCACCCCACUUCUGGUGCUGCAAAACAGCCCCGCCCCACUUACUGCUGCAAAGAAACAGCCCCACCCCACUACUCAGUGAAUACAUGGUAUUAGCUGCUGGUCUACGCUCGGCCUCAUAACCAAGCCAAGAAAGCUCGCUUCUACACUGCUGCAAAACAGCUCAUGCCCCCAGCAAAAAGAGCCACUUCUAGUGCUACGGUGAAGCAGAAUUGACAUGCAUCACGAUGUCGAGGACUAGGUCGAUCUAGGAACACAGAAUCUUCCACAAAAUGAAUCUUGGACAAUUUUAAAACCUGCAUGGUUGCAAGAAGAAACUCCAGCAGUGCUGAACAUUCAUUCCUGCAUGGCUGGACAUACUUUAAUACUUGUUAUUUCUCAUGCGUAUUAAUUUAAUUUU